UGAAACCAAACUUCCUCUGCCUACACACAAUGCAUAUCCCUCCAAUUUCUGCACAAUCAUGUGCCUC
Molecule: long non-coding RNA, 67 nt
Organism: Amblyraja radiata (thorny skate)
Lineage: Eukaryota; Metazoa; Chordata; Chondrichthyes; Rajiformes; Rajidae
Exons: 3
Source: RefSeq, a predicted model, not a curated record